Long non-coding RNA from Austrofundulus limnaeus, 407 nucleotides. RefSeq lists it as uncharacterized. The record is from RefSeq and is a predicted model, not a curated record. The transcript is spliced from 3 exons. Lineage: Eukaryota; Metazoa; Chordata; Actinopteri; Cyprinodontiformes; Rivulidae.
GCCUGACUUCUGUGCAGCAAACAGAUGUUCUAACAGCUGUAGCACCAAAACAAGACCCUGUGGAUCAACUUUCACCUCAGGUAGAAACAAGAAGCACAACCACAUGUAGAAGAGUUGAAGACGACCUGCAGAUGAACCUCGGUCUGAUGCUUUUUCCAAAGCAACAGGGGGCCACUGGAGAGAGGUGAAAGGAGUCCUCUGAUCACCCGUACACACUGCCUGCUGUCUCAAGGCUUCACACACUAAACUGAAGGAGCCACAGCCUGAGAGAGGAAACUGCAGCUGGAGAAGUCUAAUGGCUUGACAAGAGGGCCAAGAAAAACUGUAAUAUGUGUAAAGAGGACUAGACUCAGGUAUAUAUUUAAUAUAAAUAAUAAAACAAAUCAGUUGUGCUACAUUUACUCAAA